This 250-nucleotide ribosomal RNA is filed under the name uncultured bacterium. RNAcentral's name for it is "partial 16S ribosomal RNA". It matches the Rfam family "Bacterial small subunit ribosomal RNA", at positions 56 to 334 of the family's 1533-position model. The record is from RNAcentral.
UGCAAGUCGAGCGCACCCUUCGGGGUGAGCGGCGGACGGGUGAGUAACGCGUGGGAACGUACCCUUUAGUACGGAAUAGCCUCGGGAAACUGAGAGUAAUACCGUAUACGCCCUUCGGGGGAAAGAUUUAUCGCUAAAGGAUCGGCCCGCGUUGGAUUAGGUAGUUGGUGGGGUAAUGGCCCACCAAGCCGACGAUCCAUAGCUGGUUUGAGAGGAUGAUCAGCCACACUGGGACUGAGACACGGCCCAG